Molecule: ribosomal RNA, 253 nt
Filed under: uncultured bacterium
Lineage: Bacteria
Description: partial 16S ribosomal RNA
Rfam family: Bacterial small subunit ribosomal RNA
Source: RNAcentral
UACGAAGGUCCCAAGCGUUGUUCGGAAUCACUGGGCGUAAAGGGCGCGUAGGCGGCCUUCUAAGUCGGACGUGAAAUCCCUCGGCUUAACCGAGGAACUGCGUCCGAUACUGAAAGGCUUGAAUCCGGGAGAGGGAUGUGGAAUUCCAGGUGUAGCGGUGAAAUGCGUAGAUAUCUGGAGGAACACCGGUGGCGAAGGCGGCAUCCUGGACCGGUAUUGACGCUGAGGCGCGAAAGCCAGGGGAGCAAACGGG